Molecule: non-coding RNA, 1388 nt
Filed under: Pan troglodytes (chimpanzee)
Lineage: Eukaryota; Metazoa; Chordata; Mammalia; Primates; Hominidae
Source: RNAcentral
ACAAAAGAAACGCAUCUGGCCUGCAAGUCCCGGGCGGCUCGUGCACACCUCAGGCCUCAAAUGACUUGUUUCGCCUAGAAUCAACUCCCGUCUCGGCCGCCUCGAAGUCCCCAGCCCUGGCGAGAACAGCCCAGGAUGAGUGAAUGUUUGCCGAACAGGAUCGCACCGAGCGGGCGCCUUCGAGCCAGCGCCGGGGCGGGGGCAGAGCCCGGGGCCCGUUCCGGCAGCUCCCAGCGGUGUCCUCGUCGAGGGGCCGCCUGCCCCUCCUUCUCCAGCCUCUUCUCCCGGGAACUCAGCCCGGCUGAGUGACAGCAGCCUGCGCUCUAAUGGGCCCCCGGAUGCUGCCUCCUAAUUAGCUUGGACCUUCUCCCCUAAGGCUGCUUCUCAGGCCUCCCUCUCUGCACCGCAGUCAAUUUUCCGGGAUUGGGAUAGAAAUGAUGGCUUCUAAUCAGACGAAACGUUUCUGCUGGCUCUAGGCGUUUGGAGAAUGCAGAAGGAAGACCCCAAGGAUCCCAGCCAGACCCCACAGCCUCUUGUACCUCUCCCCUUGUUUUACACCUUACGCCUUGGCCAAAUGGGCCAGGCCUGGCCUUGGCAGGCAUGGGGUUGGCCUUGGCAGCCUUUGCCCUCCUUCAGGGUAGCUUUGUCCCAGCCUGGGGCCUGCGUCCUGGCUUCCCAGGGCUUCAGGCACAGGCCUGGUAAGCCAGGUGACUGCUGUCUCCCAACCCUAGGCCAGCAGCCCAGGAAGCCCUCAGUCUUCCAGUUUCUCUCCCACACAGUGGUAGCUGAGCUGCAGCUCCAAUGGGCCUUCACUGGGCACAGGCAAAGACAUUACUCUCCCACUCCUAAGAGUGAUUCCCUCCUCGAGUCCUUGCACGUAGGUGAAGUUUGUCGAAGGAUUUUGCUCAACAAUUGUUAGCUGGCCCCGAGACCUCAGCGUCUUGAGCAAACAGGCCACAGCUGGGGCGGCAAGGCGCCGCCCUGACCUGCUCCUCUGGCCAUAGGCGGACCCCAGACUGCCCUCUGCCCCUCACCUGUGAUCAGCUCCACCAGACACAGCAACCCAAGGGAGCUGCGCCAGGAUUGUCUGCCUGGGAAAGAAGCAGGGAGGUGUCCAGUGUCCUCACCCCAAAACCCAGUGCCUCCUCAACUCCUGGGUGGGUGGCACUGACUGCGCAGGUAUCAGCGUCUGGGGCACUCUGCAGGUUCUGCCUUUGAGUCCUCGCCUUACCCCUUCCCAUCACAGGGAGACACCCAGGGUCAGCUGAGCUCCUUGUGGGGGCUGCUGGGGCCAGGGUCAGGCAUGCAGGGUGGAACCAGGCCUGCCUUCCAUUCCCUCCACGUUAGUCCAAAGCACCCCCACCCCCCCCACCCCCACCCCACCCCCA